Molecule: ribosomal RNA, 559 nt
Filed under: uncultured archaeon
Lineage: Archaea
Description: bacterial SSU rRNA
Rfam family: Archaeal small subunit ribosomal RNA
Source: RNAcentral
ACACGUGGAUAACCUGCCCUAAGGUGGAGCAUAACCCCGGGAAACUGGGGAUAAUACUCCAUAGGUUAUGGAUGCUGGAAUGCUUCAUAACUCAAAGCUCCGGCGCCUUAGGAUGGAUCUGCGGUCGAUUAGGUUGUUGUUGGGGUAACGGCCCAACAAGCCUGUAAUCGAUACGGGUUGUGGGAGCAAGAGCCCGGAGAUGGAAUCUGAGACACGAUUCCAGGCCCUACGGGGCGCAGCAGGCGCGAAAAUUUUACAAUGCAGGAAACUGUGAUAAGGGAACCCCGAGUGCCCGUAUACGCGGGCUGUCCAGGUGUGUAAAAAGCACCUGAAGAAAGGGCCGGGCAAGACCGGUGCCAGCCGCCGCGGUAAUACCGGCGGCUCGAGUGGUGGCCACUUUUAUUGGGCUUAAAGCGUCCGUAGCUGGACUCCUAAGUCCCUUGGGAAAUCUCUUGGCUUAACCAAGAGGCGUCUAAGAGAUACUGGGAGUCUAGGGACCGGGAGAGGUGAGAGGUACUCCGGGGGUAGGAGUGAAAUCCUGUAAUCCCCGGGGGACCAC